RNAcentral lists this ribosomal RNA (292 nucleotides) under uncultured bacterium. RNAcentral describes it as "partial 16S ribosomal RNA". It matches the Rfam family "Bacterial small subunit ribosomal RNA", at positions 505 to 796 of the family's 1533-position model. The record is from RNAcentral.
GUGUCAGCCGCCGCGGUAAGACAGAGGUUGCAAACGUUGUUCGGAAUUACUGGGCAUAAAGCGCACGUAGGCGGUCCGUUAAGUCAUGUGUGAAAUCCCCCGGCUCAACCGGGGAAUUGCGCCUGAUACUGGCGGGCUAGAGGUCGAUAGGGGUGAGCGGAACUCCAGGUGGAGCGGUGAAAUGCGUAGAUAUCUGGAGGAACACCGGUGGCGAAAGCGGCUCACUGGAUCGAAACUGACGCUGAGGUGCGAAAGCUAGGGUAGCAAACGGGAUUAGAUACCCCAGUAGUCC